GAUGAACGCUGGCGGCGUGCCUAAUACAUGCAAGUCGAGCGAACAGACGAGGAGCUUGCUCCUCUGACGUUAGCAGCGGACGGGUGAGUAACACGUGGAUAACCUACCUAUAAGACUGGGAUAACUUCGGGAAACCGGAGCUAAUACCGGAUAAUAUAUUGAACCGCAUGGUUCAAUAGUGAAAGACGGUUUUGCUGUCACUUAUAGAUGGAUCCGCGCCGCAUUAGCUAGUUGGUAAGGUAACGGCUUACCAAGGCAACGAUGCGUAGCCGACCUGAGAGGGUGAUCGGCCACACUGGAACUGAGACACGGUCCGGACUCCUACGGGAGGCAGCAGUAGGGAAUCUUCCGCAAUGGGCGAAAGCCUGACGGAGCAACGCCGCGUGAGUGAUGAAGGUCUUCGGAUCGUAAAACUCUGUUAUUAGGGAAGAACAAAUGUGUAAGUAACUAUGCACGUCUUGACGGUACCUAAUCAGAAAGCCACGGCUAACUACGUG
RNAcentral lists this ribosomal RNA (497 nucleotides) under uncultured bacterium. RNAcentral's name for it is "partial 16S ribosomal RNA". It matches the Rfam family "Bacterial small subunit ribosomal RNA", at positions 28 to 507 of the family's 1533-position model. The record is from RNAcentral.